UUUUUUGGGGCAAGAAGCAUGAAACAGUGGGAACUUUGGGGGUGGGAACUCCAGAGGGUUCGGUGAAGGAGGAGUACAGUCACUGGGAGACAAAAUGGAGAGUGGGUAAAAUUUCUGUGCCACCGACUGGGAAAGUCCCCCAAUAUCCCCAGGACUUUGGCAUUUGAAUGAUUUCACAUUUCAGAUAAGGGAAAAAGUCUCAGCCUGUUCCUGUGAACCCCCCCGCCUCCAGGUCACCUUCUGCAUUCACCACCUGAUUUGCAAAUGGCUUUUGACCAAUUUUCCCCUGGUAGAUUACUUCUCACUAUUACUCUUCUACGUUGCUGCAGUACUCACCAAUGCCAUGCUGAGAGUACCCAGCUCCGACUGUGGGAAAUGAGAGGCGAAGCUCAAGCUUCACAAAGGUCAGCUAUGCUGCAGCAUGGUUUUUUGAAAAGCUGCAGAUGCCCUGACAUCAAGGGAGCUGUUGUUGUUCAUGUGCAGGUAAAGAAGAAGCAGUGAAAGCUUUAUACAUGCUUUAAACACAGUUUUCUUUCAGUUUUGCCUGAAUGGAUCCAACAGAAAGGUUUUGCCUGAGCUACAGCUUCAAGGGUUUGCAUGCUUCUUAUUAAAUCUUGGUACUCUAUAGGCAAAAGGGGUUGGGAUGAAUAAGUGGAGAGUUGAAACUCAUGUUCGUACAUUCUAUGUUGUGCAUUGAACUUUGAUGUUAAUAUCAUUAGUUUUGUGUUCUCUUUCAGAAGAAAGACAUGAAAAUGAUGAUGCUAUGGGUCAAAACAGGUGCACAAAGGCCGUCAAAUGAGAAAUGUAUUUUGUUUCAGUAACAGACAUAGUUUAGAUACUUUUAAUAUAUCUGAUUGAUAGAUUACUUUUCGGGGGGGGGGGGGGGGGGGGGAAGGGGGAGAUACCUAAUAUAUAAUACAGCUUUCUAUUUGUACUGUGAUAUUAUUAAAAGUAAAUUAUUUCCUGUUAAACAAAACAAACAAACAAAAAAAAAAACAUGGAAAUUUAGAGGAAAAUAGGGCUUAUCAAGUCAAACAGGAUCCAACAUAAUUUUAAGUGUAUCCGUCAGAAAAUUCUAAAACAUUUUUUACACUGUGAGUAAAAAAAGUCUCCCUCCAUAGCACCCACUGAACAGACUGCAGCUCAACAGCAGCUUCAUUCUGGUGCUGGAUUGAGGCGGGUGGCUGCAUUGCAAUGCCAACGACACAGCUGAAGUUGGGGGCACGUAGGCGGCACUGGGAAGCCAGCAUACGGUUCAGAGACAGUGGUGGCUCUACUCACCAAAAGGGCUUGGUGGCUGCCAAGUUAGUCCUGACAUCCUUCAAACUCCAAAACAGAAAGAAGAGAGGAAGAAACAAGAAGGCACUUUCAACCAGAGACUGUGAAACAUAUGAAAAUAUUCCAUCUUGUGACUCUCCCCCACUUUUAAGAGGAGGCAAAAGGUAUCAGCAGCAGGAGCAGGCGGUGCGCUGCUCCGUGCACUGUGAUUCACACUGAAACACCGUAGGAGGACUCAUCAAGAAGGAUACUUCCUGUGCUUUGGGACUUGAUUUUGAUCACUUUCCACUUAAUGGGGCAAGAACACAUUUAUGAGAACCAGGCUCAGGUACCUCAGGCAUGAACCAGCUUUUGUUUGCUUUCCCACCCAAACUCUUUCAGAACCACCUUCAGCUUCCGCCCCAGAAAAGUCACCUUCUUACAGAUCUCAAU
Molecule: long non-coding RNA, 1710 nt
Organism: Gallus gallus (chicken)
Lineage: Eukaryota; Metazoa; Chordata; Aves; Galliformes; Phasianidae
Source: Ensembl